GGGGUUGUAGCUCAGCGGUAGAGCUCUCACCUAGAACCUGUGAGGCCCUGGGUUUGAUCCUCAGCACCACA
This 71-nucleotide transfer RNA is filed under the name Marmota monax (woodchuck). RNAcentral describes it as "tRNA.Ser". It matches the Rfam family "tRNA". Rfam says of the family: Transfer RNA (tRNA) molecules are approximately 80 nucleotides in length. Lineage: Eukaryota; Metazoa; Chordata; Mammalia; Rodentia; Sciuridae. The record is from RNAcentral.